CUACGGGUGGCACCAGUGGGGGAUAUUGCGCAAUGGGGGCAACCCUGACGCAGCAAUGCCGCGUGAAGGAAGAAGGUCUUCGGAUCGUAAACUUUUGUCUUCAGGGACGAAAUUGACGGUACCUGAGGAGGAAGCCACGGCUAACUACGUGCCAGCAGCCGCGGUAAUACGUAGGUGGCAAGCGUUGUCCGGAUUUACUGGGUGUAAAGGGCGUGUAGGCGGGAUGACAGGUCAGAUGUGAAAUACUCAGGCUUAACCUGGGGGCUGCAUUUGAAACCGUCGUUCUUGAGUGUCGGAGAGGGAAGCGGAAUUCCUAGUGUUGCGGUGAAAUGCGUAGAUAUUAGGAGGAACACCAGUGGCGAAGGCGGCUUUCUGGACGAUAACUGACGCUGAGGCGCGAAAGCGUGGGGAGCAAACAGGAUUAGAUACCCUUGUAGUC
Molecule: ribosomal RNA, 439 nt
Filed under: uncultured bacterium
Lineage: Bacteria
Description: partial 16S ribosomal RNA
Rfam family: Bacterial small subunit ribosomal RNA
Source: RNAcentral